Molecule: ribosomal RNA, 238 nt
Filed under: uncultured bacterium
Lineage: Bacteria
Description: partial 16S ribosomal RNA
Rfam family: Bacterial small subunit ribosomal RNA
Source: RNAcentral
GACUGGCUCAGGAUGAACGCUAGCUACAGGCUUAACACAUGCAAGUCGAGGGGAAACGACAUCGAAAGCUUGCUUUUGAUGGGCGUCGACCGGCGCACGGGUGAGUAACGCGUAUCCAACCUGCCCAUCACUUGGGAAUAACCUUGCGAAAGUAAGACUAAUGCCCAAUGAUAUCCCACGAAGGCAUCCGAAUGGGAUUAAAGAUUUAUCGGUGAUGGAUGGGGAUGCGUCUGAUUAG